GUGUCAGCAGCCGCGGUCCCCCCUUCCUCUCGCGUGGUAGCCGCGUUUAUUGGGCCUAAAGCGUCCGUAGCCGGUCCGAUAAGUCUCUGGUGAAAGCCCACAGCUCAACUGUGGGAAUCGCUGGAGAUACUAUCGGACUUGAGGCCGGGAGAGGCUGGAGGUACUCCCAGGGUAGGGGUGAAAUCCUAUAAUCCUGGGAGGACCACCUGUGGCGAAGGCGUCCAGCUGGAACGGACCUGACGGUGAGGGACGAAAGCCAGGGGCGCGAACCGGAUUAGAUACCCGGGUAGUCCUGGCCGUAAACGAUGCGGACUUGGUGUUGGGACGGCUUUGAGCUGUCCCAGUGCCGAAGGGAAGCUGUUAAGUCCGCCGCCUGGGGAGUACGGCCGCAAGGCUGAAACUUAAAGGAAUUGACGG
Molecule: ribosomal RNA, 417 nt
Filed under: uncultured bacterium
Lineage: Bacteria
Description: bacterial SSU rRNA
Rfam family: Archaeal small subunit ribosomal RNA
Source: RNAcentral